This 429-nucleotide ribosomal RNA is filed under the name uncultured bacterium. RNAcentral describes it as "bacterial SSU rRNA". It matches the Rfam family "Bacterial small subunit ribosomal RNA", at positions 355 to 776 of the family's 1533-position model. The record is from RNAcentral.
UAGGGAAUCUUCCACAAUGGACGCAAGUCUGAUGGAGCAACGCCGCGUGAGCGAAGAAGGUCUUCGGAUCGUAAAACUCUGUUGUUAGAGAAGAACACGGGUGAGAGUAACUGUUCACCUGUUGACGGUAUCUAACCAGCAAGUCACGGCUAACUACGUGCCAGCAGCCGCGGUAAUACGUAGGUGGCAAGCGUUAUCCGGAUUUAUUGGGCGUAAAGGGAACGCAGGCGGUUCUUUAAGUCUGAUGUGAAAGCCUUCGGCUUAACCGAAGAUGUGCAUUGGAAACUGGGGAACUUGAGUGCAGAAGAGGAGAGUGGAACUCCAUGUGUAGCGGUGAAAUGCGUAGAUAUAUGGAAGAACACCAGUGGCGAAAGCGGCUCUCUGGUCUGUAACUGACGCUGAGGUUCGAAAGCGUGGGUAGCGAACAGG